The sequence is a ribosomal RNA, 1353 nucleotides long. It matches the Rfam family "Bacterial small subunit ribosomal RNA", at positions 77 to 1435 of the family's 1533-position model.
AGCUUGCUAUCUAGAGACCGGCGCACGGGUGAGUAACGCGUAUGCAACCUACCUUAUACAGGUGAAUAGCCCGGAGAAAUUCGGAUUAAUGCACCAUGGUUUAAUUUUGUGGCAUCUCAAGAUUAAUAAAGAUUUAUCGGUAUAAGAUGGGCAUGCGUAUCAUUAGCUAGUUGGUGUGGUAACGGCAUACCAAGGCAACGAUGAUUAGGGGUCCUGAGAGGGAGAUCCCCCACACUGGUACUGAGACACGGACCAGACUCCUACGGGAGGCAGCAGUGAGGAAUAUUGGUCAAUGGAGGCAACUCUGAACCAGCCAUGCCGCGUGCAGGAAGAAUGUCCUAUGGAUUGUAAACUGCUUUUGUACGGGAAGAAACAUCGCUACGUGUAGCGACUUGACGGUACCGUAAGAAUAAGGAUCGGCUAACUCCGUGCCAGCAGCCGCGGUAAUACGGAGGAUCCGAGCGUUAUCCGGAAUUAUUGGGUUUAAAGGGUUCGUAGGCGGUUUAUUAAGUCAGUGGUGAAAUUUCUUAGCUUAACUAAGACACGGCCAUUGAUACUGGUAGACUUGAAUAGUAUGGAAGUAACUAGAAUAUGUAGUGUAGCGGUGAAAUGCUUAGAUAUUACAUGGAAUACCAAUUGCGAAGGCAGGUUACUACGUACUUAUUGACGCUGAUGAACGAAAGCGUGGGUAGCGAACAGGAUUAGAUACCCUGGUAGUCCACGCCGUAAACGAUGGAUACUAGCUGUUCGGUUUUCGGACUGAGUGGCUAAGCGAAAGUGAUAAGUAUCCCACCUGGGGAGUACGUUCGCAAGAAUGAAACUCAAAGGAAUUGACGGGGGCCCGCACAAGCGGUGGAGCAUGUGGUUUAAUUCGAUGAUACGCGAGGAACCUUACCAGGGCUUAAAUGUAGAUUGACGUAUUUGGAAACAGAUAUUUCUUCGGACAAUUUACAAGGUGCUGCAUGGUUGUCGUCAGCUCGUGCCGUGAGGUGUCAGGUUAAGUCCUAUAACGAGCGCAACCCCUAUUGUUAGUUACCAUCGAGUCAAGUCGGGAACUCUAACAAGACUGCCGGUGCAAACCGUGAGGAAGGUGGGGAUGACGUCAAAUCAUCACGGCCCUUACGUCCUGGGCUACACACGUGCUACAAUGGCCAGUACAGAAAGCAGCUACCAGGCAACUGGAUGCGAAUCUCAAAAACUGGUCUCAGUUCGGAUUGGAGUCUGCAACUCGACUCUAUGAAGCUGGAAUCGCUAGUAAUCGGAUAUCAGCCAUGAUCCGGUGAAUACGUUCCCGGGCCUUGUACACACCGCCCGUCAAGCCAUGGAAGCUGGGGGUACCUGAAGUCGGUGACC